RNAcentral lists this ribosomal RNA (468 nucleotides) under uncultured bacterium. RNAcentral describes it as "partial 16S ribosomal RNA". It matches the Rfam family "Bacterial small subunit ribosomal RNA", at positions 28 to 507 of the family's 1533-position model. The record is from RNAcentral.
GACGAACGCUGGCGGCGUGCUUAACACAUGCCAGUCGAACGGAAAGGCCCUGCUUUUGUGGGGUGCUCGAGUGGCGAACGGGUUAGUAACACGUGAGUAACCUGCCCUUGACUUUGGGAUAACUUCAGGAAACUGGGGCUAAUACCGGAUAGGAGCUCCUGCUGCAUGGUGGGGGUUGGAAAGUUUCGGCGGUUGGGGAUGGACUCGCGGCUUAUCAGCUUGUUGGUGGGGUAGUGGCUUACCAAGGCUUUGACGGGUAGCCGGCCUGAGAGGGUGACCGGCCACAUUGGGACUGAGAUACGGCCCAGACUCCUACGGGAGGCAGCAGUGGGGAAUAUUGCACAAUGGGCGGAAGCCUGAUGCAGCAACGCCGCGUGCGGGAUGACGGCCUUCGGGUUGUAAACCGCUUUCGCCUGUGACGAAGCGUGAGUGACGGUAAUGGGUAAAGAAGCACCGGCUAACUACGUG